AGCGCGGGGCAACCUGGCGGCGAGUGGCGAACGGGUGAGUAAUAUAUCGGAACGUACCCUGGAGUGGGGGAUAACGUAGCGAAAGUUACGCUAAUACCGCAUACGAUCUAAGGAUGAAAGUGGGGGAUCGCAAGACCUCAUGCUCCUGGAGCGGCCGAUAUCUGAUUAGCUAGUUGGCGGGGUAAAAGCCCACCAAGGCAACGAUCAGUAGCUGGUCUGAGAGGACGACCAGCCACACUGGAACUGAGACACGGUCCAGACUCCUACGGGAGGCAGCAGUGGGGAAUUUUGGACAAUGGGCGCAAGCCUGAUCCAGCAAUGCCGCGUGAGUGAAGAAGGCCUUCGGGUUGUAAAGCUCUUUUGUCAGGGAAGAAACGGUGGGGGCUAAUAUCCCCCGCUAAUGACGGUACCUGAAGAAUAAGCACCGGCUAACUACGUGCCAGCAGCCGCGGUAAUACGUAGGGUGCAAGCGUUAAUCGGAAUUACUGGGCGUAAAGCGUGCGCAGGCGGUUUUGUAAGUCUGUCGUGAAAUCCCCGGGCUCAACCUGGGAAUUGCGAUGGAGACUGCAAGGCUAGAGUUUGGCAGAGGGGGGUAGAAUUCCACGUGUAGCAGUGAAAUGCGUAGAUAUGUGGAGGAACACCGAUGGCGAAGGCAGCCCCCUGGGUCAAAACUGACGCUCAUGCACGAAAGCGUGGGGAGCAAACAGGAUUAGAUACCCUGGUAGUCCACGCCCUAAACGAUGUCUACUAGUUGUCGGGUCUUAAUUGACUUGGUAACGCAGCUAACGCGUGA
This 793-nucleotide ribosomal RNA is filed under the name uncultured bacterium. RNAcentral's name for it is "bacterial SSU rRNA". It matches the Rfam family "Bacterial small subunit ribosomal RNA", at positions 71 to 862 of the family's 1533-position model. The record is from RNAcentral.